UAUAUGUAUAUGUGUAUGUAUGUAUGUACACACAUACAUACAUACACACACACACACACACACACACACACACACACACAC
RNAcentral lists this microRNA precursor (81 nucleotides) under Mustela putorius furo (domestic ferret). Its description in RNAcentral is "miRNA (ENSMPUG00000022693.1)". The record is from RNAcentral. Lineage: Eukaryota; Metazoa; Chordata; Mammalia; Carnivora; Mustelidae.